UGAGAGCCUGAUCCAGCCAUGCCGCGUGCAGGAAGAAGGCGUUAUGCGUUGUAAACUGCUGGCUAACUACGUGCCAGCAGCCGCGGUAAUACGUAGGUGGCAAGCGUUGUCCGGAUUUAUUGGGUUUAAAGGGGUGCGUAGGCGGCCCUGUAAGUCAGUGGUGAAAUAUCUCACCUUAACUGAGAGGGUGCCAUUGAUACUGCGGGGCUUGAGUACAGAUGAGGUAGGCGGAAUUGACGGUGUAGCGGUGAAAUGCAUAGAUAUCGUCAAGGACACCGAUAGCGAAGGCAGCUUACCAAGCUGUAACUGACGCUGAGGCACGAAAGUGUGGGGAUCAAACAGGAUUAGAUACCCUGGUAGUCCACACUGUAAACGUUGAUGACUCGAUGUUGGCGAUACACAGCCAGCGUCCAAGAGCAAUCGUUAAGUCAUCCACCUGGGGAGUACGCCGGCAACGGUGAAACUCAAAGGAAUUGACGG
This 480-nucleotide ribosomal RNA is filed under the name uncultured Cytophaga sp. RNAcentral's name for it is "bacterial SSU rRNA". It matches the Rfam family "Bacterial small subunit ribosomal RNA", at positions 376 to 916 of the family's 1533-position model. Lineage: Bacteria; Pseudomonadati; Bacteroidota; Cytophagia; Cytophagales; Cytophagaceae. The record is from RNAcentral.